This 3430-nucleotide long non-coding RNA is filed under the name Homo sapiens (human). RNAcentral describes it as "HSALNT0201258". The record is from RNAcentral. Lineage: Eukaryota; Metazoa; Chordata; Mammalia; Primates; Hominidae.
GCGUCAUUGUUGUUUGACAUUUCCUGUUGCAUGGUAGGAAUCUGCUGCCCAGGGACCCUGAAAGCUGUGUCUAUGAAGUUAUUACAAGAUAUUGGCUACUGUGGUGCAUGGAGCUUCUAGGCCAGGGUGAUUCUCACACCUGCCUGAUGUGGAUCUUGUUGCUUCACACCUGAAACAUCAUUUGAGAAGCCCGGGAAGUGGUGUGGCUGCUGCAUGGCUGCUCCAAGAACUACUCCCAUGGGAGAGGAGCUCCCAACAGUGCCUUGCCAUCAAGCUUUGAUUUCUACCUUACAUACCUCUGAAUAAACUGUUGCCAAUGAGGCUGAUGGAAGUCUUGUGAGUUUGAAUGCCAGGUUGAACUUAAGAGGAUUCCCUGGUGAGCAUUGCAAGAUGGUAUACUCAAUGUUAUUAAUUUGUGGGGAGUUUAAUAAAAGUAUUGUUUAUAUUGAUGUGGGAAGGGUAUAGGGAAAUUACAAGGUAUGGUGCAGUGUCCCAAGAAUAGUAACAUGGGGCACUGAAAAGAUAGAGAAAGGAAAAGAAUGAGUGACCAGAACCUGGUGACAGAGCCACAGGGGAGGGCUGUCUGGCUGGAGCUGUGACUUACCAUUGAAGGACUCAGGAAGUUCUUUUUUUUCUUUAGACAGGGUCUCGCUCCGUCAUCUAGGCUGUCAUGCAGUGGUGUGAUCAUGACUCACUGCACCCUCAGCACACACCACCAUACUGGGCUAAUUUCUGUAUUUUUAUAGACAGGUUCUCACCAGGUUGCCCAGUCUGAUCUCAAAAUCCUGGGCUCAAGCAAUCUUCCUGCCUUGGCCUCCCAAAGUGCUGGGAUUAUAGGCAUAAGCCACUGCACCCAGCCCUCAGGCAGUUUUUAUUAAUUCUGCAGGAAGGGAGCUGGGAGAAUAAAAAUCCCGACCUCAUUUUCUUUCCUUCUUUUGUUCUCUUGCUUGAGCUUCCCAUGGAUGAACUGGAAGAAUUCAGAAAUUGAAUGAUAUAAAUAACAAAGUUAAAUUAAUAGACAUGUAUUGAACUUAGUUUUUAGAGUAUGUAUAAUUUUCCCAAUUUUCUGUGGAAUUAUUGCAAAAUUUGAUCACAAACUAUAAGGCUACAAUUUAAAAAUAUAACAAAUUCCUAACUGUAAAAAUUUUCUAGGUUAAAUUCUUUGAUCACAAAGCAGGCAAGAAAUGAAUGGUGGAACAAACUAAAAUACUAGCUCCAUGAAUGAAAAGACCUACAUGGAUAUGAGAGUAAUUAAGAAGGAGUUAGCAGCGAUGGGACUUUGUGAUUGACUGGAUAUAGACAAUGAGGAAUAUAGUGAAGGAAAGAUGAUUUCCUGAUUUCUGGCAUGGGCAGCUGAGUAGAUGGUUAUGCUAUAAACUAAGAAAAGAGAGAAGGAUAGGAAGAGAUGGGCCUGGAAGAGUAUGGAGUUUGAGAUGAGAAGAGAAAAUGGAAACUCUGAGGAGCACAGAAAAUUAAGGCCCAAGUGAAGAAAGAUGAGCUUGCAGGGAAGACUGGGUGAUGACAAGCGGUGUAGGAGAGAAUCCGGGUACUCUGUUUUGCUGAAAUGAGAAAGACGGACAUACAGAUGCAUAUAAAGGCAUAUAGAGGCAGAUAUAUUUAUAUUUGAGGAAGUCUGGACAUUGAGUAAGUUAGUGCUGAUAACUUCUAGUUUCUUAGUUAAGAAAGAGAUGAGGUUAUCUAUACGGAGUAAGGAGGAACGUGGUGGUGCCGUUGCUACUACGGUGUAAUACGUCACUACUAUUACUAUUAAUUAUGGUGUAAUACCUAAAACGUAGUGGCUUGAAAUAACAAUAAUUAUCUUUUAUCUCUCACAGUUUCUCUGGGUCAGAAAUUUGAGGAUAAGGUGGUGAAUGAUUCUGGCUCAAGGUCUCCCAUAUUGUUGUGAUCAGUGGCUGGAGCCAGAACAGCAGAGGGCUUAGAGAAUCUAGGGAUUGGUCAGAUGUCGCUUUCGUUUUAUCUGGCUUUGAGACCUCUCCAAUGUGAGCUAAUUUAGGCUUCCUCAUAGCGUGGUAACCUCAAGGUAUGUGAACCGUGUAGCGGUUGACGCUUCCAAGAACAAGUAUUCUAGCAGGCAAGGUUCAUCUUUUAUGCUUUAGGCAUGGAAAUUACAUAGCGUCACUUUCCCUAAAAUGAGAAAGGAUAUAGCAUGUUUGGACAGUACGAACCAGUAUCACCUAAUUGACAUUAAUAGACCAUCCUAUCCAGCAAUGGCAGAAUACAUAUUUCAAGUGUAGAUGGAACAUUCACCAAGGCAGAUCAUAUUCUGGGCCAUGUACAAAAAAAACUGAGAAAUUUAAAAGGAUUAAAAUUACAGAAAGCAUGCUCUCUGACCACAGUGGAAUUAAGCUAGAAAUAGAAAACAAAAAAUUAUAUAGAAAAUCCCCAAAUAUUUGGAAAUUUUUUAUUUUUGAUUUUUUAAAAUUGUGUUUUUUAACCAAUGAAAAAUAAUUGUAUUAUCUGUGGAGUACAUAGUGUUGUUUCAAUACAUAUAAAGUAUAGUGAUCAGAUCAUGGAUAUUAGCAUAUCAGUCAUUCCAGACAUCUAUAAUUUUUGUGUAGGGAACCUUCAAUAUUAUCUUCCAGCUAUUUGAAACUACAUAAUAUAUUAUGGUUAAUUACAGUUUUUCUAUUGUGGUAUAGAAAUUAGAUAAUAUACUCUUUUAAAGUCCAUGGGACACAAUGAAAAAUAAUUAGAAAAAUUAGAACAUACUUUGAACUGAUUGAAAAUUAAAACACAACAUAUCAAAAUUUGUGAGAUGCAGCUAAAGCAGUACCUACUGAAAAAUGUAUGGGAUUAGAUACUUAAAAAGUAGAUGUUAAACCAAUGUCCUAAGCUUCUGCCUCAAGAAACUUAAAAAAAGAGCAAGCAAAGUAAAUCCAAAACAAGUAAGGGAACAAUAAAGAUAAGAUUAGAAAUCAAUAUAGUAGAAAAAAGGGAAUUAUAGAUACAACCAAAGAAACAAAAAAACUGGUGAUUUGAAAAUAGCAAUAAUAUUGAUAUAGGCCUCUGAUCAGACUCAUCAAGAACAAAAGAAAUAAUAUACACACUACCAACAUCAGGAAUGAAUUUGUAGGAACAUUCCUACAAAUCCUACAGACACUAAAAUACAAUAAGAAAAUAUUAUAAACAAUUUAUGCUUAUAAAUUUCAUUACCUAGGUGAAAAGUACAAAUUUUUUCAAUGAUUCAAACUGUCAAAGGUCACUCAAGAUGAAAUAGAUAACCUGAAUAGCCCUGUAUCUAUUAGAGUAAUUGCAUUCAUAGUUUAAGAUCUCCUUUCAAAUAAAUUCCAGACUAGAUGGCUUCUCUGGUGAAUUUUACCAGACAUUUAAGAAAGAAACAAUGUGGCCGGGCCCAGUGGCUCACAUCUGCAAUUCCAGCAUUUUGGGAGGCUGAGGCGGAUGGAUCGCC